Molecule: ribosomal RNA, 274 nt
Filed under: uncultured bacterium
Lineage: Bacteria
Description: partial 16S ribosomal RNA
Rfam family: Bacterial small subunit ribosomal RNA
Source: RNAcentral
AUACGGAGGGUGCAAGCGUUACUCGGAAUCACUGGGCGUAAAGCGCGCGCAGGCGGUCUUUUAAGUUGGAUGUGAAAGCCUACAGCUCAACUGUAGAACUGCAUCCAAAACUAUUAGACUAGAGUCUGGGAGGGGAAGAUGGAAUUAGUUGUGUAGGGGUAAAAUCCGUAGAGAUAACUAGGAAUACCAAAAGCGAAGGCGAUCUUCUGGAACAGUACUGACGCUGAGGCGCGAAAGCGUGGGGAGCAAACAGUAUUAGAAACCCCAGUAGUCC